UCGGAGGCGCCUGAUUUCAUGACAUGAGU
Molecule: non-coding RNA, 29 nt
Filed under: Mus musculus (house mouse)
Lineage: Eukaryota; Metazoa; Chordata; Mammalia; Rodentia; Muridae
Source: RNAcentral